RNAcentral lists this ribosomal RNA (420 nucleotides) under Salmonella enterica subsp. enterica serovar Enteritidis. RNAcentral's name for it is "bacterial SSU rRNA". It matches the Rfam family "Bacterial small subunit ribosomal RNA", at positions 1117 to 1533 of the family's 1533-position model. Lineage: Bacteria; Pseudomonadati; Pseudomonadota; Gammaproteobacteria; Enterobacterales; Enterobacteriaceae. The record is from RNAcentral.
GCCAUCAUUCAGUUGGGCACUCUAAGGGGACUGCCGGUGAUAAGCCGAGAGGAAGGUGGGGAUGACGUCAAGUCCUCAUGGCCCUUACGGGCUGGGCUACACACGUGCUACAAUGGUGGUGACAGUGGGCAGCGAGACCGCGAGGUCGAGCUAAUCUCCAAAAACCAUCUCAGUUCGGAUUGCACUCUGCAACUCGGGUGCAUGAAGUUGGAAUCGCUAGUAAUCGCAGAUCAGCAUGCUGCGGUGAAUACGUUCCCGGGCCUUGUACACACCGCCCGUCACACCAUGGGAGUUGGUUCUACCCGAAGGCGCUGCGCUAACCGCAAGGAGGCAGGCGACCACGGUAGGGUCAGCGACUGGGGUGAAGUCGUAACAAGGUAGCCGUAGGGGAACCUGCGGCUGGAUCACCUCCUUUCUAAG